Molecule: long non-coding RNA, 2667 nt
Filed under: Phaseolus vulgaris (common bean)
Lineage: Eukaryota; Viridiplantae; Streptophyta; Magnoliopsida; Fabales; Fabaceae
Description: long non-coding RNA (PVUL_LNC003835)
Source: RNAcentral
UUAAUUUGAGCCUUGGUGGGUUGGGUCGCAGGUGCAUUAGGGUAGUGGAAGGUUGUAGCCAUUGCGUAAUUAGAGUUAGGAGUGGUUGGUGCAUUUUGAAUGUUGGCGCUGGGCUCGAGGCGUGGGGCAACCGCACCGCCUAUGAGUGGGACGCGUGGCGCACAGCCUGUGGCUCUUGCAGGAGGCAUGUUCAGGUUAUUAUGAGACGUGGAAGGGCUCUUUUGGGGCGCGUGUGCAUGAGGCUCAAGGCGGGGUAAGUCUGUGCCAGCUGUGAGUGGAACACUUGGCGUGCGCACAUUGGUCUCCAUGUGCGGUGAGUUCAGAUACUUCUGACUGGGGUUUUGAGUUGAGUUAAGUGCUGAUGGAAGGGAAAAAUAAGUGGAUUCAGUAUAGAGAAAAGGGGGCUCCCCAGCUGACCCUUUGAAUGGUCUUAAUAGUGAAACAUGGAAGACCGGGUGGACGCGAGCGGACUCUGGUAACUGGAGUUCGUAAGCCACGAAUCUGACGCGACGGAAGACUCUGAAUGGCCCUGCAUAACGCGGACCCAACUUCUGAUUAGGGCGCCGAGCUAAUGAGUGUUUCCGGUAGCGAUGGCGAUUGGCUUGGUCGCACAUGCGCUGGCGUGUGUGGUGCAAAUCUCGGAGGUCAUGGGGCAUGACGGUCUGCUUCGUCAGUGUCUCUUGAAUGGUGGUUCCUACGUUUGGUAUGUUAACGAAGUCGACGAUGGUGGGUGGUUGUCGACCGUAUAACGCAUGGAAUGGGGAGGUUUCGAUCGCCAAAUGGUAUGUGGUAUUAUGCCACAAGUGCAAAUAUUGAUACCACUUCUUAGGUUGGUUACCCACAAAGCAUCUCGGGUAAGCUUCUAAUCCGCGGUUUAACACCUCUGUUUGGCCAUCAGUUUGAGAGUGGUAAGACGAACUGAAAUUUAACACUGUUCCUUGUGCCUUGAACAAAUGUUGUCAAAAGGUACUCACGAACAAGGGGUCUUUAUCUGACACAAUGGAUUUGGGUAGUCCAUGAAGGCGGCAUAUCUCCACAAAAAAACGCUUGGCUAGCUGUUGGGCAGUGAAGUGCAUAGGAAUAGCUAUGAAGUGAGCAUAUUUUGUGAGUCUAUCGUAAACAAACCCAAUGACCGAGUGCCCGGUCGAACUUGGAAGGUGAGUUAUAAAGUCCAUUGAUAUUUCUUCCCAUACCUGUUUUGGAAUCGGUAGUGGUUGUAAUAGCCCUUGAGUUUUGGUUGGCAUGUAUUUUAUUUUGUUGACAUGUGGAGCAUUGUUGGACGAAACAGUGGACAUCUCUGGUCCAUUUCAGCCAAUAAAAAGAAGUAACUAUGCGCUUAAGAGUGGGUUUAAUGCUGGAAUGGCUGCCGACAGGGGAAGUGUGGAUUUCGGUCAUGAUUCGGUGGUGGAAGUCAUUCACUGCUGGCACAAAAAUCUGGUGGCGGAAGAAUAAUAACCCCUGGCUAGUGGAGAAAAGGCUCGGUUACGUUUGACUGCUAGUGCAUGCUUGGAUCACUUCCUGACCUUCUGUGGUUGCAAGAUAAUGUUGGAGGUCACGAACAAGCUGAGGAAUGGGCGAUGAUAGAGUGAGCAGUAUGAUUGAGUGAUCCUCACUUUGUCUUGAAAGAGCGUCAACCACUACAUUCUCCUUCCUAGGUUUGUAAAAAAUAUGAAAAUCACACCCUUGCAAUUUUGCUGUCCAUUUUUGUUGCUCGGAGGUUUGUAUGAUUUGGGAAAGUAGUGUGUUUAGGCUCUUUUAAUCUGUGAUAAUCUUGAAAUGCUGACCUAUGAGAUAUUGAUGCCAUUUUUUAUGGAUUCUGUAAUGGCGUACAUCUUGCGUGCAUAAAUGGAGGAAGCUUGGAGUUUGGGACUCAUCUAUUUGCUGAAGAAGGUCAGCGGACACCUUGAUUGACUGAGGACAACACCUACGACCACCGCGGAAGUGUCUGUUUCUACCACAAAAGGAAGCUUGAAGUCCGAUAGUUGUAGGGUAGGCACUUUUGCUAUGUGUAAUUUUAAAUUUUCAAAUGCUUGUUGCACGGGCCAAGACCAUGUAAAUUAUGGUGCUGUAAUAAGUCGGUGAGAGGAGCGGUGAGAGUGGCGUAUUGCUUAAUGAAUUUUUGGUAGAAUCCGGUGAGGCCAAGGAAACCCUGUAAUUCUGUGAGUGAACGUGGCUGAGGCCAUUUGUGGAUGGCCCUGACCUUAUCUGAGUCUGGGUGGACUCCUUGAGCAGAAAUUAUAUGACCUAAGUAACUGACAUUUGUGGUUGCGAAACUGCAUUUGGAAAGCUUGACAAAAAAAAUUUGAUUUUGUAAUGUUGCCAAUAUAGUUUUUUAGAUGAACAAUAUGAUCCUGCAAGUUUGGGCUAUAAAUCAAAAUAUCAUAAAAAAAAGCUAAGACAAACCGGCGAAGGAAUGGUCUCAAUAGAUCAUUCAUUGCUACCUGAAAAGUAGAAGGAGUGUUAGUUAAACCAAAUGGCAUGACUAAGAAUUCGUAGUGGCCAUCAAUAUUGCGGAAAACUCUUUUAUGUGUGUUUUCAGGAAUUAGAAGUAUUUGGUAGUAACCAGAAUGCAAAUCUAUUUUAGUAAAAACAAUAACUGAACCUAAUUCAUCUAGCAAUUCAUUCAUAAAGAUUUGAGAAACUUUCCAAUAUAAUUUUAAAGUUAUU